RNAcentral lists this ribosomal RNA (393 nucleotides) under Foraminifera environmental sample. Its description in RNAcentral is "SSU rRNA". It matches the Rfam family "Eukaryotic small subunit ribosomal RNA", at positions 1129 to 1452 of the family's 1831-position model. The record is from RNAcentral. Lineage: Eukaryota; Foraminifera.
ACGCACGUGUGAAACUUGAAGGAAUUGACGGAAGGGCACCACAAGAACGCGUGGAGCAUGUGGCUUAAUUUGACUCAACGCGGGAAAUCUUACCGGGUCCGGACACACUGAGGAUUGACAGGCAGUUUUGAUACGUUCUUUCGUUUCUUUAUUGAUUCGAAUGUAACGUAUCUCAUGAAAGAUGCUAGUCCUUUCAUGAUUAUGUGAUAGGUGGUGCCUGGCCGUUCUUAGUUCGUGGAGUGAUCUGUCUGCUUAAUUGCGUUUCAUUAAGAGCCUAUACUUACGUACGUCGCGGGCACUUAGACCCCACUUUCACUUCGGUGUUUGUGCGCGUUUUGUCUUAGUUUUGCUUUAGCGCGUACAUUUAGGCUCUGAAAGCAACGAACGUGACCG